CAAGGAGUAGUUUAAUUUUAAGAUUCUGGCUUUGGGAGCCAGAGAUAAAGGUUAAAGUCCUUUCUCUUUGA
Molecule: transfer RNA, 71 nt
Filed under: Joturus pichardi (bobo mullet)
Lineage: Eukaryota; Metazoa; Chordata; Actinopteri; Mugiliformes; Mugilidae
Description: tRNA-Pro
Rfam family: tRNA
About the family: Transfer RNA (tRNA) molecules are approximately 80 nucleotides in length. Their secondary structure includes four short double-helical elements and three loops (D, anti-codon, and T loops).
Source: RNAcentral